UACGUAGGGUGCAAGCGUUAAUCGGAAUUACUGGGCGUAAAGCGUGCGCAGGCGGUUAUGCAAGACAGAUGUGAGAUCCCCGGGCUCAACCUGGGAACUGCAUUUGUGACUGCAUGGCUAGAGUACGGUAGAGGGGGAUGGAAUUCCGCGUGUAGCAGUGAAAUGCGUAGAUAUGCGGAGGAACACCGAUGGCGAAGGCAAUCCCCUGGACCUGUACUGACGCUCAUGCACGAAAGCGUGGGGAGCAAACAGG
This 253-nucleotide ribosomal RNA is filed under the name uncultured bacterium. RNAcentral describes it as "partial 16S ribosomal RNA". It matches the Rfam family "Bacterial small subunit ribosomal RNA", at positions 524 to 776 of the family's 1533-position model. The record is from RNAcentral.